Molecule: long non-coding RNA, 1369 nt
Organism: Pollicipes pollicipes
Lineage: Eukaryota; Metazoa; Arthropoda; Thecostraca; Pollicipedomorpha; Pollicipedidae
Exons: 4
Source: RefSeq, a predicted model, not a curated record
GUUUACGCAGCCAUUGUUCGCGCGUCGCCGCCGGCUUUGUCGUGAUCAAGGGUAGUGAUUGUGGUGUGCAUUUGUGGACGAAGAAUGACUAAAACGAAGAGCCAUAAGGCCAUUGGUGAUGCGGUUUGGCUGGCAAGGCUGCGGCUGUUUGCCAGCAGAGGAGUGUGGGCGGCGGACAUGGGCAUCAGACCUGGCCCCAAGCAGUCAAGGACAGUCCGUGACCUGUACCUCAAGGUCCAGCGUUGCCCUCGCCAGGGUGGUGGGACACAGGCUAUGCUGUCCUUUGCUGGAAGGUCUGCCCUUAGCCGAGGCUGUCAGUGUGGCCUGCAUAAGGCAAACGCAUCUUCAUCGAUACCUUCGUCACAUUUCCUACCACGUUAUCCUGCCAUGGCAAUGGUGUCCCUGCAAAAGUGCAUGCUUUGCAAUACGUAAUCCUGGUUCCUGGAUGCUUGAUUGCUUUGAGGGUGUGCGGGAGAUGGUUUUCUGCUGGCAAUAUACAUGGCUAAUUUGACGUGAUGGGCUGCCUGGCACAUGGUGUGAUUGGUAACACUGUCCUGUUAAUGACAUGCUUGGUGACUGGCACACGAAGCACGGACUUCGAUGUUGUUUUUUCCUUAUGUUGUUGCCAUGUGCUGAACCGCGUUACAGGCAUUGACGCCAUGACAUGGUGUAACAAACUUGCAAAGAUCGUGGAAUGCUACAUUCUAAAGGUUAAGGGUGGUUUUGAAGGCAAAGUUUUUAUACUUGGCCGUAUUGCUUAGCCAUACUCGCUGUACCUGGUUGUACCUGGUUGUACCGGGCUAAACCCGUCCCAUACCGGGUAGCCAGAGCUCGUCACGACGGGACACAGUAGUUCUGAUCUUUCUCCUAAUUAUCCUUUUACCGGACGAACGUAAUACUACAUGAACCUUGUAUAUUACGAAAUUUUGACGGUACGAACUUAAUGUCCAUGAGAUUCCAUGCCUCAGCACGGUUCAGCAUAUGGUGGUUUGUGUCUACCGAAGCACCAUGUUGGUUUUGCUUGGCUGGCUGCAUUUGCCUAGAAAGGAAUAACGUGCUACUUGCGCGCCUGGUCACGAUGUAAACUGUGCACAAUGCACGUGCCGGACUUGCUGACGAGACCAGACAAUAUUACCCUGCAUUUGCCCCACGUUGAUGUGCACCAUGGUCGGCUUGGCGCCUGCUUGUGCUUGGCAUGUUUGGUGGACGGUCGCAUCCUGGCAAAAAUUGCGUCCUUGAUGCUUCCUCACCACAGACGCUUCCUUAGGAUCCCCAGGAUAGGCAGGGUAUCCAGCGUCUGCGGCAGUAUGCUGAGACUGGUCGGCUGUCGUCCCUCUCGCCGCGGCUCAGCAACAUCCGACCGAAUCUG